RNAcentral lists this unclassified non-coding RNA (292 nucleotides) under Agaricomycetes sp. RNAcentral describes it as "partial contains 5.8S ribosomal RNA, internal transcribed spacer 2, and large subunit ribosomal RNA". The record is from RNAcentral. Lineage: Eukaryota; Fungi; Basidiomycota; Agaricomycetes.
CGCACCUUGCGCCCUUUGGUACUCCGAAGGGCACGCCUGUUUGAGUGUCGUGAACUUCUCAACUCUUUCUUUCUUUACGGAAAGACUGAGCUUGGAUGUGGAGGCUUGCUGGUUCCCUUUUUGUGGAUGCAGCUCCUCUUGAAUGCAUUAGUGAGACCCUGUGCGGCCUUGGUGUGAUAAUUGUCUACGCCAUGGGCUUAGCUCUUGUGGGACUUGCUUCCAACUGUCUUUGUAUAGAGACGCUUUAUUAAAACUUGACCUCAAAUCAGGUGGGACUACCCGCUGAACUUAA